GACGAACCGUGCGAACGUUGUUCGGAAUCACUGGGCUUAAAGGGCGCGUAGGCGGCUUGCCAAGUCAGUGGUGAAAUCCUGCAGCUUAACUGCAGAAGUGCCUUUGAUACUGGCGAGCUAGAGGGAGGUAGGGGUAUGUGGAACUUCUGGUGGAGCGGUGAAAUGCGUUGAUAUCGGAAGGAACGCCGGUGGCGAAAGCGACGUGCUGGACCUCUUCUGACGCUGAGGAACGAAAGCUAGGGGAGCAAACAGG
Molecule: ribosomal RNA, 253 nt
Filed under: uncultured bacterium
Lineage: Bacteria
Description: partial 16S ribosomal RNA
Rfam family: Bacterial small subunit ribosomal RNA
Source: RNAcentral